UUAAGUUAUAAAGGGCGCAUGGUGGAUGCCUAGGCACUAGGAACCGAUGAAGGACGUAACUAACGACGAUACGCCUCGGGGAGCUGUAAGUAAGCUUUGAUCCGGGGAUUUCCGAAUGGGGGAACCCAAAUAUCGUAAUGGAUAUUUACUUGUUUGUGAAUACAUAGCAAUCAAGAGGAACACGCAAUGAACUGAAACAUCUAAGUAGUUGCAGGAAGAGAAAGAAAAUUCGAUUCCCUGAGUAGCGGCGAGCGAAACGGGAACAGCCCAAACUAAAGAGCUUGCUCUUUAGGGUUGUAGGACUGAUGUUGUGAGAACAAAAGGUAAUGAUAGUUGAACAAGCUGGAAAGCUUGGCCAAAGAGUGUGAAAGCCACGUAAACGAAAUCUGACCCACUCCAUUCAGUAUCCUGAGUACGGCGGAACACGAGAAACUCCGUCGGAAUCUGGGAGGACCAUCUCCCAAGGCUAAAUAUUCCCUAGUGACCGAUAGUGAACCAGUACCGUGAGGGAAAGGUGAAAAGUACCCCGGAAGGGGAGUGAAAUAGAUCCUGAAACCAUGUGCCUACAAGUAGUCAGAGCCCGUUAAUGGGUGAUGGCGUGCCUUUUGUAGAAUGAACCGGCGAGUUACGUUAACAUGCAAGGUUAAGAUGAAAAGUCGGAGCCGUAGCGAAAGCGAGUCUGAAUAGGGCGAUUGAGUAUGUUGAUGUAGACCCGAAACCAAGUGACCUAUCCAUGUCCAGGUUGAAGAUGCGGUAAAACGCAUUGGAGGACCGAACCCGUGUAUGUUGAAAAAUGCUGGGAUGAGAUGUGGAUAGCGGUGAAAUUCCAAACGAACUUGGAGAUAGCUGGUUCUCUCCGAAAUAGCUUUAGGGUUAGCCUCGGGGAUUAGGAUUAUGGAGGUAGAGCACUGUUUGGACUAGGGGCCCGUCUUGGGUUACUGAAUUCAGAUAAACUCCGAAUACCAUCAAUCUAUACCCGGGAGUCAGACGAUGAGUGAUAAGAUCCACCGUCGAAAGGGAAACAGCCCAGAUCACCAGUUAAGGUCCCAAAAUUCAUGCUAAGUGGAAAAGGAUGUGGAAACGCAUAGACAACUAGGAUGUUGGCUCAGAAGCAGCCAUUCAUUCAAAGAGUGCGUAAUAGCUCACUAGUCGAGUGAUUCUGCGCCGAAAAUGUACCGGGGCUAAGCAUGAUACCGAAACUGUGGAUGUGUCGCAAGACACGUGGUAGGAGAGCGUUGUAAUUGCAUUGAAGCUGUACCGUGAGGAGCAGUGGAGUGAUUAGAAGUGAGAAUGCCGGUAUGAGUAACGAAAGAUCAGUGAGAAUCUGGUCGGCCGAAAGACUAAGGUUUCCUGGGGAAGGCUCGUCCUCCCAGGGUUAGUCGGGGCCUAAGAUGAGACCGAGAGGUGUAAUCGAUGGAUAACGGGUUGAUAUUCCCGUACUAGUUUAUUUUGUUUGAACGAUGGAAGGACGCAGGAGGAUGAUGUGUGCACACUGAUGGAUAUGUGUGUCCAAGCCGCAAGCCUUGGGAUGAGUCAAAUGCUUAUCUCUCUAAGGGCAAGUUGUGAUGGGGAGCGAAAUUUANGUAUGAGUCAAAUGCUUAUACCUUUAAGGGCAAGUUGUGAUGGGGAGCGAAAUUUAGUAGCGAAGCACAGUAACUCACACUGCCGAGAAAAGUUCCUAGUUAGAAAUAAACUACCCGUACCGCAAACCGACACAGGUAGUCGAGGAGAGUAUCCUAAGGUCAGCGAGUGAACUCUCGUUAAGGAACUCGGCAAAAUGACCCCGUAACUUCGGGAGAAGGGGUGCUGGUGUAAAAACCAGCCGCAGUGAAUAGGCCCAAACAACUGUUUAUCAAAAACACAGGUCUAUGCUAAAUCGUAAGAUGACGUAUAUGGGCUGACGCCUGCCCGGUGCUGGAAGGUUAAGAGGAUCAGUUAGCGUAUGCGAAGCUGAGAAUUGAAGCCCCAGUAAACGGCGGCCGUAACUAUAACGGUCCUAAGGUAGCGAAAUUCCUUGUCGGGUAAGUUCCGACCCGCACGAAAGGCGUAAUGAUUUGGGCACUGUCUCAACGAGAGACUCGGUGAAAUUAUAAUACCCGUGAAGAUGCGGGUUACCCGCGACAGGACGGAAAGACCCCAUGGAGCUUUACUGUAGCUUGAUAUUGAGUUUUUGUGUGACAUGUACAGGAUAGGUAGGAGCCAUUGAUCUCGGAACGCUAGUUUCGAGGGAGGCGUUGGUGGGAUACUACCCUUGUUAUAUGAAAACUCUAACCUACACCGCUUAGCGCGGUGAGGGACAGUGUCUGGUGGGCAGUUUGACUGGGGCGGUCGCCUCCUAAAAUGUAACGGAGGCGCUCAAAGGUUCUCUCAGAAUGGUUGGAAAUCAUUCGCAGAGUGUAAACGUAUAAGAGAGCUUGACUGCGAGUCUGACAAGACGAGCAGGGACGAAAGUCGGAGUUAGUGAUCCGGUGGUACCAUAUGGAAGGGCCAUCGCUCAACGGAUAAAAGCUACCCUGGGGAUAACAGGCUUAUCUCCCCCAAGAGUUCACAUCGACGGGGAGGUUUGGCACCUCGAUGUCGGCUCAUCGCAUCCUGGGGCUGUAGUCGGUCCCAAGGGUUGGGCUGUUCGCCCAUUAAAGCGGUACGCGAGCUGGGUUCAGAACGUCGUGAGACAGUUCGGUCCCUAUCCGUCGCGGGCGUAGGAAAUUUGAGAGGAGCUGUCCUUAGUACGAGAGGACCGGGAUGGACAUACCUCUGGUGUACCAGUUGUGCCGCCAGGCGCAUCGCUGGGUAGCUACGUAUGGAAGGGAUAAACGCUGAAAGCAUCUAAGUGUGAAGCCCCCCUCGAGAUGAGAUUUCCCAUUCCUUUAUGGAAGUAAGAUCCGUUAGAGAUUAUGACGUAGAUAGGCUGCGGGUGGAAGUAUAGCGAUAUAUGGAGCUGAGCAGUACUAAUAGAUCGAGGACUUAAUCG
Molecule: ribosomal RNA, 2971 nt
Filed under: Companilactobacillus kimchiensis
Lineage: Bacteria; Bacillati; Bacillota; Bacilli; Lactobacillales; Lactobacillaceae
Description: bacterial LSU rRNA
Rfam family: Bacterial large subunit ribosomal RNA
Source: RNAcentral